This 495-nucleotide ribosomal RNA is filed under the name uncultured bacterium. Its description in RNAcentral is "partial 16S ribosomal RNA". It matches the Rfam family "Bacterial small subunit ribosomal RNA", at positions 28 to 506 of the family's 1533-position model. The record is from RNAcentral.
GAUGAACGCUGGCGGCGUGCCUAAUACAUGCAAGUCGAGCGAACAGACGAGGAGCUUGCUCCUCUGACGUUAGCGGCGGACGGGUGAGUACACGUGGAUAACCUACCUAUAAGACUGGGAUAACUUCGGGAAACCGGAGCUAAUACCGGAUAAUAUAUUGAACCGCAUGGUUCAAUAGUGAAAGACGGUUUUGCUGUCACUUAUAGAUGGAUCCGCGCCGCAUUAGCUAGUUGGUAAGGUAACGGCUUACCAAGGCAACGAUGCGUAGCCGACCUGAGAGGGUGAUCGGCCACACUGGAACUGAGACACGGUCCAGACUCCUACGGGAGGCAGCAGUAGGGAAUCUUCCGCAAUGGGCGAAAGCCUGACGGAGCAACGCCGCGUGAGUGAUGAAGGUCUUCGGAUCGUAAAACUCUGUUAUUAGGGAAGAACAAAUGUGUAAGUAACUAUGCACGUCUUGACGGUACCUAAUCAGAAAGCCACGGCUAACUACGU